GCUUAAUAUUAACAUCUUAUUUAGUUAAAUUUUCUUAGUUAUAAAAACUUAGUAAUUAAAUUUAUUUUAUUGGGGCGAUAAAAGUAAAAUGACUACUAACUGCUUAAUAUUUUAUACAUUUAUAAAUGAAUUAGGAAAUAAAUGAUCCUAGUAUAAAGAUUAAAAGUUUAAGUU
RNAcentral lists this ribosomal RNA (174 nucleotides) under Hemigrapsus longitarsis. RNAcentral's name for it is "partial 16S ribosomal RNA". The record is from RNAcentral. Lineage: Eukaryota; Metazoa; Arthropoda; Malacostraca; Decapoda; Varunidae.